UAGGGAAUAUUGGGCAAUGGUCGAGAGACUGACCCAGCCAUGCCGCGUGCAGGAAGACGGCCUUAUGGGUUGUAAACUGCUUUUAUACGGGGGUAAUACUAGCUACGAGUAGUUAGAUGAAAGUACCGUAAGAAUAAGGAUCGGCUAACUCCGUGCCAGCAGCCGCGGUAAUACGGAGGAUCCAAGCGUUAUCCGGAUUUAUUGGGUUUAAAGGGUGCUCAGGCGGAAGGCUAAGUCAGUGGUGAAAUUUAUUCGCUUAACGAAUACACUGCCAUUGAUACUGUCCAUCUAGAUUAGAAUUGACGUGGGAGGAAUAUGUCAAGUAGCGGUGAAAUGCGUAGAUAUGACAUAGAACGCCGAUCGGGAAGCCGUCUCACGAAGUUUAUAAUGACGCUCAAGCACGAAAGCGUGGGGAUCAAACA
This 422-nucleotide ribosomal RNA is filed under the name uncultured Bacteroidota bacterium. RNAcentral's name for it is "uncultured Bacteroidetes bacterium partial 16S ribosomal RNA". It matches the Rfam family "Bacterial small subunit ribosomal RNA", at positions 355 to 774 of the family's 1533-position model. Lineage: Bacteria; Pseudomonadati; Bacteroidota. The record is from RNAcentral.